GACGAACGCUGGCGGCGUGCCUAAUACAUGCAAGUAGAACGCUGAAGAGAGGAGCUUGCUCUUCUUGGAUGAGUUGCGAACGGGUGAGUAACGCGUAGGUAACCCGCCUGGUAGCGGGGGAUAACUAUUGGAAACGAUAGCUGAUACCGCAUAAAAUUGAUUAUUGCAUGAUAAUUAAUUGAAAGAUGCAACUGCAUCACUACCAGAUGGACCUGCGUUGUAUUAGCUAGUUGGUGAGGUAACGGCUCACCAAGGCGACGAUACAUAGCCGACCUGAGAGGGUGAUCGGCCACACUGGGACUGAGACACGGCCCAGACUCCUACGGGAGGCAGCAGUAGGGAAUCUUCGGCAAUGGGGGGAACCCUGACCGAGCAACGCCGCGUGAGUGAAGAAGGUUUUCGGAUCGUAAAGCUCUGUUGUAAGAGAAGAACGGGUGUGAGAGUGGAAAGUUCACACUGUGACGGUAUCUUACCAGAAAGGGACGGCUAACUACGUG
Molecule: ribosomal RNA, 497 nt
Filed under: uncultured bacterium
Lineage: Bacteria
Description: partial 16S ribosomal RNA
Rfam family: Bacterial small subunit ribosomal RNA
Source: RNAcentral